GUCCUACGGGAGGCAGCAGUGGGGAUAUUGCACAAUGGGGGGAACCCUGAUGCAGCGACGCCGCGUGGGUGAAGAAGCGCCUCGGCGCGUAAAGCCCUGUCAGCAGGGAAGAAAAUGACGGUACCUGAAGAAGAAGCCCCGGCUAACCACGUGCCAGCAGCCGCGGUAAUACGUAGGGAGCAAGCGUUGUUCGGAAUGACUGGGCGUAAAGGGUGCGUAGGCGGGUGUACAAGGUAGAAGUGAAAUACCCAGGG
RNAcentral lists this ribosomal RNA (254 nucleotides) under uncultured bacterium. RNAcentral's name for it is "partial 16S ribosomal RNA". It matches the Rfam family "Bacterial small subunit ribosomal RNA", at positions 335 to 608 of the family's 1533-position model. The record is from RNAcentral.